AGAACGAACGCUGGCGGCAGGCUUAACACAUGCAAGUCGAACGCCCCGCAAGGGGAGUGGCAGACGGGUGAGUAACACGUGGGAACAUGCCCAAAGGUACGGAAUAUCCUCGGGAAACUGAGAGCAAUACCGUAUGUGCCCGAAAGGGGAAAGAUUUAUCGCCUUUGGAUUGGCCCGCGUCGGAUUAGCUUGUUGGUGGGGUAAAAGCCUACCAAGGCGACGAUCCGUAGCUGGUCUGAGAGGACGACCAGCCACACUGGGACUGAGACACGGCCCAGACUCCUACGGGAGGCAGCAGUGGGGAAUCUUGGACAAUGGGCGCAAGCCUGAUCCAGCCAUGCCGCGUGGAUGAUGAAGGCCUUAGGGUUGUAAAAUCCUUUCGUUGGGGACGAUAUGACGGUACCAAGAAGAAGCUCCGGCUAACUUCGUGCCAGCAGCCGC
This 441-nucleotide ribosomal RNA is filed under the name uncultured bacterium. RNAcentral's name for it is "SSU rRNA". It matches the Rfam family "Bacterial small subunit ribosomal RNA", at positions 26 to 518 of the family's 1533-position model. The record is from RNAcentral.